Non-coding RNA from Python bivittatus (Burmese python), 409 nucleotides. NCBI's taxonomy places the organism in Eukaryota, Metazoa, Chordata, Lepidosauria, Squamata, Pythonidae. The record is from the annotation of a RefSeq genome assembly.
UGGUUGGCGGUCCCUGUGAGAUACAAAGAUGAAAGACUCCAGCAUGGCCUGGGUUCUCUCUUUUCUUGUGCUUCUCAGCUCCUUCUCAGGGUUGCGAUCACAGCCCACAGUGACUCAGCCAGCCUCUGCAUCAGCAUCCUUGGGACAAGAAGCUAAAUUGUCAUGCACUGUCAACGCUAACGUGAACCACGUUUACUGGUUUCAGCAGAAAUCAUUAGGAACCCCUCACUUUCUACACUGUAAUGGUUGUAGCAGCAGGGGAUCAGGGAUCCCAGACCGAUUCACUGCAUCACGAUCUGGGAACACCGGCUAUUUGACCAUCACCAACCUGAACGUGGAAGAUGAGGCUGACUAUUAUUGCAAUGCUUGGUUUGGCAGUGCUAGUGUGUUGCACGAUGAUACAAUCUGA